GUGGGGAAUUUUGGACAAUGGGGGCAACCCUGAUCCAGCAAUGCCGCGUGCAGGAAGAAGGCCUUCGGGUUGUAAACUGCUUUUGUACGGAACGAAACGGUCCUGGCUAAUAUCCGGGGCUAAUGACGGUACCGUAAGAAUAAGCACCGGCUAACUACGUGCCAGCAGCCGCGGUAAUACGUAGGGUGCGAGCGUUAAUCGGAAUUACUGGGCGUAAAGCGUGCGCAGGCGGUGCUGUAAGACAGGCGUGAAAUCCCCGGGCUCAACCUGGGAAUUGCGCUUGUGACUGCAGUGCUGGAGUGCGGCAGAGGGGGAUGGAAUUCCGCGUGUAGCAGUGAAAUGCGUAGAUAUGCGGAGGAACACCGAUGGCGAAGGCAAUCCCCUGGGCCUGCACUGACGCUCAUGCACGAAAGCGUGGGGAGCAAACAGGAUUAGAAACCCUAGUAGUCC
This 450-nucleotide ribosomal RNA is filed under the name uncultured bacterium. Its description in RNAcentral is "partial 16S ribosomal RNA". It matches the Rfam family "Bacterial small subunit ribosomal RNA", at positions 354 to 796 of the family's 1533-position model. The record is from RNAcentral.